RNAcentral lists this ribosomal RNA (112 nucleotides) under Paenibacillus elgii. The record is from RNAcentral. Lineage: Bacteria; Bacillati; Bacillota; Bacilli; Caryophanales; Paenibacillaceae. RNAcentral also lists the same sequence under 1 other name.
UGGUGAUGAUGGCGGAAGGGAACCACGCGUACCCAUCCCGAACACGACCGUUAAGCCUUCCAGCGCCGAUGGUACUUGGACCGCAGGGUCCUGGGAGAGUAGGACGUCGCCA